Molecule: RNA transcript, 776 nt
Organism: Humulus lupulus (European hop)
Lineage: Eukaryota; Viridiplantae; Streptophyta; Magnoliopsida; Rosales; Cannabaceae
Gene name: protein ANTAGONIST OF LIKE HETEROCHROMATIN PROTEIN 1-like
Exons: 3
Source: RefSeq, a predicted model, not a curated record
UCAGAUGAUGAGUUUGGAGAGAUUUUGCUAUAUUUUGCUUGCGAGGAAUAUAAUCAAUUAUAUCUAUCUAAGCAACCUUGUAGAAAUUCAGCUCUUUCAGGCCAUGAAUACUUUAUGGAAGUGUUGCACGGCCAUUGGAGUAGGUGUUAUGAUUUGUUCAGAAUGAACAAAGAUGUCUUCAAACUAUUUUGUGGUGUUCUAAAAGAAUUUUUUUUAUUGAAGAACUCACGAUAUCUGUCUGUUGAAGAACAAGUGGCUAUGUUCUUAUUUGUGAUUGGCCAUAAUGAACGACAUCGUGUGGUUGCUGAACGAUUUCAGCACUCCAUCUCAACCACAUCUCAUUAUUUUAAGAAGGUUUUGAAGGCAAUAUGUCGUCUAUCCAAAGAACUAAUUACUCCACCUUCAUUUGAUGUAACUCCUCCACAAAUUCGAUUCGAUCCAAGAUACUAUCCAUUUUUUAAGAAUUGUGUUGGAGCUAUAGAUGGGACUCAUAUUUCUGCGCAUGUUCCAAUUGAUGAACAAAUACCAUAUUGAGGUCGAAAAGUGGAUACAACUCAGAACGUUAUGUGUGUAUGUUCAUUUGACAUGAAGUUCACAUACGUUGUCCCUGGAUGGGAAGGAUCAGCUAAUGAUGCACGGUUUCUUCUAGAAUGUGCCACAAACCCAGAUUAUGGAUUUCCAAUGCCGCCCCAAGGAAAAUAUUAUCUUGUUGAUUCUGGCUAUACAAACCUGCCUGGUUUUCUUUCGCCAUACCAAGGGGAAAGGUAUCAUUUGGG